CACGUAGGGUCCGAGCGUUGUCCGGAAUUACUGGGCGUAAAGCGCGCGCAGGCGGUCUGCUCAGUCGCUGGUGAAAGCCCCACGCUCAACGUGGGAAGGUCCGGCGAGACGGGCAGACUGGAGGCAGGGAGAGGUCGUUGGAAUUCCGGGUGUAGUGGUGAAAUGCGUAGAGAUCCGGAGGAACACCAGAGGCGAAGGCGGCCGACUGGACCUGACCUGACGCUGAGACGCGAAAGCGUGGGGAGCGAACAGG
Molecule: ribosomal RNA, 253 nt
Filed under: uncultured bacterium
Lineage: Bacteria
Description: partial 16S ribosomal RNA
Rfam family: Bacterial small subunit ribosomal RNA
Source: RNAcentral